AACGAACGCUGGCGGCAGGCCUAACACAUGCAAGUCGAACGCUCGUAGCAAUACGAGAGUGGCAGACGGGUGAGUAACACGUGGGAACCUUCCCUAUGGUUCGGAAUAGCCCAGGGAAACUUGGGGUAAUACCGGAUAAGCCCUUACGGGGAAAGAUUCAUCGCCAUUGGAUGGGCCCGCGUCGGAUUAGCUAGUUGGUGGGGUAACGGCUCACCAAGGCGACGAUCCGUAGCUGGUCUGAGAGGAUGAUCAGCCACACUGGGACUGAGACACGGCCCAGACUCCUACGGGAGGCAGCAGUGGGGAAUAUUGGACAAUGGGCGCAAGCCUGAUCCAGCCAUGCCGCGUGAGUGACGAAGGCCUUAGAGUUGUAAAGCUCUUUUGGCGGGGAAGAUAAUGACGGUACCCGCAGAAUAAGCUCCGGCUAACUUCGUGCCAGCCGCCGCAGUAA
RNAcentral lists this ribosomal RNA (451 nucleotides) under uncultured bacterium. RNAcentral describes it as "partial 16S ribosomal RNA". It matches the Rfam family "Bacterial small subunit ribosomal RNA", at positions 29 to 523 of the family's 1533-position model. The record is from RNAcentral.